AUGGCCGCGCCGUUCCUCUCGAUCCGGACGGGCAUCGGCACGCCGAGCCGUCCGGAAGAAGAACCACCGGAGUUAGCCCAAGGGCUCGCCGGAAAAGGAGAAGGGGGGGCACCGCAGCCAAACCGCUCGACGGCGGCGCGCUCACCGCGAGGUGGACGCGCAGCCGGCGAGGGGGAAGGCCACGGCGCCGCCGUCGGAACCUCCGCCACAGUCGUCGUCCAGAUCGAAAAAGAGGAGGCGGUGGUGGUGGAGACACAGAGGAGAGGACAGGAGGAAAAGGGGGGAGGAGAGGGUGGCGCGCGCAGCGCGGUGGCUUCAGGUCGCCGUCGCCGGCGGCCAGACUUAGCUCGCCGGUGGCCUCGGGCCCCGGCCGCGGAGACAGACCGGAGGACGGCCCAGCCCUCUCUGCAACAGGAAAGAGAAGGGGAACAGGAGGAAAGAGAAGCGGCCAGGCUCACGCGGUGGUGGACGCCGUUGCCGGCGACUGGCGCGACCGGACCGGCCGGCAGAACCGCCGCUGUGGAGACGAACAGCGAGAGGGAGUGA
This 546-nucleotide ribosomal RNA is filed under the name Triticum aestivum (bread wheat). RNAcentral describes it as "partial small subunit ribosomal RNA". The record is from RNAcentral. Lineage: Eukaryota; Viridiplantae; Streptophyta; Magnoliopsida; Poales; Poaceae.